RNAcentral lists this ribosomal RNA (847 nucleotides) under uncultured bacterium. Its description in RNAcentral is "bacterial SSU rRNA". It matches the Rfam family "Bacterial small subunit ribosomal RNA", at positions 60 to 907 of the family's 1533-position model. The record is from RNAcentral.
AGUCGACGGAGUUGUGCAUCGGAAGUUUUCGGAUGGAAGAAGCAGAACUUAGUGGCGGACGGGUGAGUAACGCGUGGGUAACCUGCCGUAUACAGGGGGAUAACAGUUGGAAACAACUGCUAAUACCGCAUAAGCGCACACUGUCGCAUGACAGAGUGUGAAAAUUUCCGGAGGUAUACGAUGGACCCGCGUCUGAUUAGCCAGUUGGCAGGGUAACGGCCUACCAAAGCAACGAUCAGUAGCCGGCCUGAGAGGGUGGACGGCCACAUUGGGACUGAGACACGGCCCAAACUCCUGCGGGAGGCAGCAGUGGGGGAUAUUGCACAAUGGGGGAAACCCUGAUGCAGCGACGCCGCGUGAGUGAAGAAGCAUUUCGGUGUGUAAGGCUCUAUCAGCAGGGAAGAAGAAUGACGGUACCUGACUAAGAAGCCCCGGCUAACUACGUGCCAGCAGCCGCGGUAAUACGUAGGGGGCAAGCGUUAUCCGGAUUUACUGGGUGUAAAGGGAGCGUAGACGGCAACGCAAGCCAGAUGUGAAAACCCGCAGCUCAACUGGGGGAGUGCAUUUGGAACUGUGUAGCUAGAGUGCAGGAGAGGUAAGCGGAAUUCCUGGUGUAGCGGUGAAAUGCGUAGAUAUCAGGAGGAACACCAGUGGCGAAGGCGGCUUACUGGACUGUAACUGACGUUGAGGCUCGAAAGCGUGGGGAGCAAACAGGAUUAGAUACCCUGGUAGUCCACGCUGUAAACGAUGAAUACUAGGUGUCGGGGGUUUACGGACGCCCGGUGCCGCAGCAAACGCAGUAAGUAUUCCACCUGGGGAGUACGUUCGCAAGAAUGAAACUCAAAGG